This 30-nucleotide non-coding RNA is filed under the name Mus musculus (house mouse). The record is from RNAcentral. Lineage: Eukaryota; Metazoa; Chordata; Mammalia; Rodentia; Muridae.
UGGGAGAAGCCUUGGACAGGUAGGUCCACU